GUACUGCUGAAGAGUCCCAAACCGGGACGAAAUAUCUGUCUAGUAC
Molecule: non-coding RNA, 46 nt
Filed under: Trichobilharzia regenti
Lineage: Eukaryota; Metazoa; Platyhelminthes; Trematoda; Strigeidida; Schistosomatidae
Source: RNAcentral